Molecule: ribosomal RNA, 449 nt
Filed under: uncultured bacterium
Lineage: Bacteria
Description: partial 16S ribosomal RNA
Rfam family: Bacterial small subunit ribosomal RNA
Source: RNAcentral
CCCAGACUCCUACGGGAGGCAGCAGUGGGGGAUAUUGCACAAUGGGGGGAACCCUGAUGCAGCGACGCCGCGUGGGUGAAGGAGCGUUUCGGCGCGUAAAGCCCUAUCGGCAGGGAAGAAGGAGGACGGUACCUGACUAAGAAGCCCCGGCUAACUACGUGCCAGCAGCCGCGGUAAUACGUAGGGGGCAAGCGUUAUCCGGAUUUACUGGGUGUAAAGGGGGCGCAGACGGCAGCGCAAGCCAGGAGUGAAAGCCCGGGGCCCAACCCCGGGACUGCUCUUGGAACUGCGCGGCUGGAGUGCAGGAGGGGCAGGCGGAAUUCCUGGUGUAGCGGUGAAAUGCGUAGAUAUCAGGAGGAACACCGGCGGCGAAGGCGGCCUGCUGGACCGUGACUGACGUUGAGGCUCGAGAGCGUGGGGAGCAAACAGGAUUAGAUACCCUGGUAAUG